This 497-nucleotide ribosomal RNA is filed under the name uncultured bacterium. RNAcentral describes it as "partial 16S ribosomal RNA". It matches the Rfam family "Bacterial small subunit ribosomal RNA", at positions 28 to 507 of the family's 1533-position model. The record is from RNAcentral.
GAUGAACGCUGGCGGCGUGCCUAAUACAUGCAAGUCGAGCGAACAGAUAAGGAGCUUGCUCCUUUGACGUUAGCGGCGGACGGGUGAGUAACACGUGGGUAACCUACCUAUAAGACUGGGAUAACGUCGGGAAACCGGAGCUAAUACCGGAUAAUAUUUCGAACCGCAUGGUUCGUUAGUGAAAGAUGGUUUUGCUAUCACUUAUAGAUGGACCCGCGCCGUAUUAGCUAGUUGGUAAGGUAACGGCUUACCAAGGCGACGAUGCGUAGCCGACCUGAGAGGGUGAUCGGCCACACUGGAACUGAGACACGGUCCAGACUCCUACGGGAGGCAGCAGUAGGGAAUCUUCCGCAAUGGGCGAAAGCCUGACGGAGCCACGCCGCGUGAGUGAUGAAGGUCUUCGGAUCGUAAAACUCUGUUAUUAGGGAAGAACAUAAGUGUAAGUAACUGUGCACGUCUUGACGGUACCUAAUCAGAAAGCCCCGGCUAACUACGUG